Long non-coding RNA from Olea europaea var. sylvestris, 611 nucleotides. RefSeq lists it as uncharacterized. The record is from RefSeq and is a predicted model, not a curated record. NCBI's taxonomy places the organism in Eukaryota, Viridiplantae, Streptophyta, Magnoliopsida, Lamiales, Oleaceae. The transcript is spliced from 2 exons.
AUUACUGGUGAAAUUGGGAAUUUCAGUUAAUUCGAAACGGUGUCAUUUUCUUCACUCAUCUUCUUCCUGCAUUUGUUCAUUUUCUGUCCCCAAUCAGUGGUGAUAGCGGGCCUCUUUUCAUAACAUUCCUCACCCUUGUCCAUGAGGUUCAAACUGGAGGAAACUUAUCUUUGUUAUCCAUUUCACCAAUCGUGUUAGCUAAAGUUUCCAUGGUAAUUUUAGCUAGACUCCCUCUUGAUUAAAUUCUGGCAAGUUGCUCAUAGGCAUUUCUUCUUCAGCAGAGGUGUGUCAAAUACAGGGUGGAUUUUAGCUCCACUCCCUCUUGAUCAAGUAUUUGCAGAGCAUAUGGAUGAAGUUUCAGGAAGAUUCGCAAAUUUGUGGACAACAAUGUGGUUAGAAAGUUAACUCAUAUCCACCUCACUAGGGUGAUGGCGAUACAACAAUUGAUGUAUUCAGGGAAGUCCUAGCUCUUAUUUGUAUUUACUUUAACAUGAGGACAAUCUCUACUUUAAGUUUGGGGGUGAAAAAUAUUGAAUCUUUAAUUUUAUUAUUCUUGCGUGAUUAUGUAUUUGUAUUUCUUUAUCAUACAUAAAAAAUUGUUUUUUUUUUAA